GUUGAUAUUAUCAGGCUUGUUACAAGGUUGUUUCAACAAGUACGAUACAGUCAUGAUAUAGCAGUAUUGUUACAACCUUGUGUCAUCAACCUUGUAACAUUGUUAUAUAUAUCAUGGCUGUAACAAACUCGUCAGCACAGUCUUGUAACAAGGCUGAUAGUGCCAUC
Molecule: non-coding RNA, 167 nt
Organism: Paramuricea clavata
Lineage: Eukaryota; Metazoa; Cnidaria; Anthozoa; Malacalcyonacea; Plexauridae
Source: the annotation of a GenBank genome assembly